Molecule: long non-coding RNA, 1910 nt
Organism: Cannabis sativa
Lineage: Eukaryota; Viridiplantae; Streptophyta; Magnoliopsida; Rosales; Cannabaceae
Exons: 2
Source: RefSeq, a predicted model, not a curated record
ACUUCGAAUAAUAUCAAGAGUUAUGAAAGUUAGGAAUAAAAAAACCUUUUCUAAUCACACAUAUAGAGGAUAGGCUUGUGUAUUGUUAGCAUAAAUUUUUACUAAGUUAUGAAGGUUGGGCUUGUAUAUUGAAAGUAUUGUUAAAAUAUUUGUAGAUUUUUACAAUUUAUAGAUUGUUAUAUCAACAUAUAUGUGUAUGUGUGUAAAUUUAACAAUAGAGAAAGAGAACAAUUUUAGAGUUAAUAAUAUUAAUUUGAAAUGAAUUAUGAACAAAUGUAGAAGUUUCACAAAAGGGUAACUAUAUUUGUUACAAAAUAUACUAAAAUUCAAGUUUAAAUAAAAUUCCUACCAGUGAUUAUUGAUGACAAUUGUUAAUUAACAAUAGAAUACCUUAAUUAUCACAUAUUGCUUUUGUUGCUAGACUGUAUAGAGUAAUAGUCCUCAGUUGUGCCUAUUGAAAUUUGUGAAAAGUUUGAUACUUGUAUGUUUACAUCAAUAGUUGUUAAUCUAAUUGAAUAGUGAUUAGAUUAGAUUUUGAUCCUUUGACAGUAAGUCAUUGGCAUUGCAAAGAAAACUUUGUAAUCGAUUUUCAGUUCAUGGAAAGCCAAGAAAUUUUGCUGAGAUUUCGAAUUUAGAAUAUCUGAAAACUCUUCUCAUUUCAGAUUUUUAGGACUAUGCAAAGCCGGCGCGCCUUUUCCAAACAGCAGAAGCUAAAAUCUGUAAAGAAAUCUCAGCAGUAGAAAAUGAUUUCAGUUCUUUCUGUAUGUGUACUGGUUAAUUGAUUUAUUUUUUUUUAUUUUCUUGCUAGUGUUUAAAAUUAUUUUCUGCAAGAUUGUGUCUUAGCUUGUCAAUCUCUCUCUGUAAAACUCUCUUCUCUUGUUCCAACUCAUGAUAGGAGGGGAGAUGAAAUGGGUUUUGCUUGUAUCAAAGGAAACAAUUUUCAUAGCUGCAUCAGCUGUAUCAUCAUUACACAACAUAUGCUUAAUAACAACACCUCCUUCUUCUUCAUCAUGUCUUUCCAAAUCUUCGAAAACCCUAUCACGCUCUCUCCUCCUUUAUUCAGAUUCUUUUUCCAGUUUGAAAAACCCAACUCCACUUUUCAAUCUCCAUUUUAAGAAGAAGCUCACAACCUACAAAUCUCAUUCCCUUCUCUAGUUUUUGCUGCACAAACUAAUUGAAUUGAGUACCUAUUUAUUUUCUUUCACGAGAGACAAGGAAACAACUACAACCGCCGUCUAACAGAAAAAAAAAAGUUAAUUUUCUAUACUAGCUAGUGUUUUGUAUAGCUGACUGUAACUAAAGCUGAAGAGAAUAAUAUACUAUUCUUAGGAACAAAACUCUCUAACUAAAGCUGAAUUUUUAGUAUAUUGCAAUUCAAUUUUGGAUCAAUAGUUUUGUUAUGUAAAAAAAUAUAGAUUAAUUUUUGACUUUUUGUUAAAGUAAAUUUUUUAUAAGAUAGCUAUAUUUUAGCAAUAGAUCACAUUUUUAAGUGUUAUUAUGUGUAUCUCUCUUUUUUAUUGGGUGUGCAUGUGACUCUUAGAAAUCUGAAGAAAAAGAGAGUGAUAAAGAAGAAGAAAAAGAAGAAAAAGUUGUGUAUUAUAAUGAUUGGAAUUGAAAGUCAUGGAAGAGGAAGAAAAAGAUGAAUACUUUUAUGAUCCUUACGAAGAUGACUUGGACAAAAGAACUUGCAAAAUUGCCUAUGGUGAUGGAAAGGAUGACUACAUGCAAGUCUAGUAAAUCUAAAAAACUUAGACCACCACCUGAAUAUAAUGACAUAUUAGAUUGAUCAUUGAAUAGGGUAUUAAAUUAGGCUUUGCUUUUUCUCUUGUUUGUUUAUGUUACUGAAUUAGUGCUAAAUUUAAAAAUAAAUAAUAUUAAUAAUAAUAAAAGUAGAUGAACCUCUUUGAUUA